GUCCCUUUCGUCUAGAGGGUUAGGACCUCGCUCUUUCACGGCGGUAACGGGGGUUCAAAUCCCCCAGGGGACA
RNAcentral lists this transfer RNA (73 nucleotides) under Candidatus Purcelliella pentastirinorum. RNAcentral describes it as "tRNA-Glu". It matches the Rfam family "tRNA". Rfam says of the family: Transfer RNA (tRNA) molecules are approximately 80 nucleotides in length. Their secondary structure includes four short double-helical elements and three loops (D, anti-codon, and T loops). Further hydrogen bonds mediate the characteristic L-shaped molecular structure. tRNAs have two regions of fundamental functional importance: the anti-codon, which is responsible for specific mRNA codon recognition, and the 3' end, to which the tRNAs corresponding amino acid is attached (by aminoacyl-tRNA synthetases). tRNAs cope with the degeneracy of the genetic code in two manners: having more than one tRNA (with a specific anti-codon) for a particular amino acid; and 'wobble' base-pairing, i.e. permitting non-standard base-pairing at the 3rd anti-codon position. The record is from RNAcentral. Lineage: Bacteria; Pseudomonadati; Pseudomonadota; Gammaproteobacteria; Enterobacterales; Enterobacteriaceae.